AGAAAGCAAUCUCGUGAAUUUGAGUUUUUGGAAAAAAUGUUAAUUUGUAUAUCAAAAAAUUUAUGAAAUUAAAAGUUACUUUUAUUUUAAAAAUCUUUGAUUUAGAAUUACUAAGUGGAGUAUAGUAAUAGUAUAUUGCAUCUUUAAUAUUCUCAUCGUUCGUUCCACACGAUAGAAAAUACAUCUAUCCUUUCCUUUCUCCCUGUGUAUUAAUGUUGUGGCAGGCACAGGCACAGGCACAGGCAGAGGCAGCA
This 254-nucleotide long non-coding RNA is filed under the name Panax ginseng (ginseng). RNAcentral's name for it is "long non-coding RNA (PGIN_LNC017715)". The record is from RNAcentral. Lineage: Eukaryota; Viridiplantae; Streptophyta; Magnoliopsida; Apiales; Araliaceae.